UCCUGGCUCAGAACGAACGCUGGCGGCGCGUUUUAAGCAUGCAAGUCGAACGGUAACCAUCCUUCGGGAUGGCUAGAGUGGCGAACGGGUGAGUAACACGUAGGUGAUCUGCCCUUGAGUUGGGGAUAGCCCAUGGAAACAUGGGGUAAUACCGAAUACGCUCGCGACCCUGUGGGGAUGUGAGGAAAAGCGCUUCGGCGCUGCUCGAGGAUGAGCCUGCGGCUGAUUAGUUAGUUGGUGGGGUAACGGCCUACCAAGGCGACGAUCAGUAGCCGGCCUGAGAGGGUGAGCGGCCACACUGGGACUGAGAUACGGCCCAGACUCCUACGGGAGGCAGCAGCUAAGAAUCUUCUACAAUGGACGAAAGUCUGAUAGAGCGACGCCGCGUGGGUGAUGAAGGCCGGAAGGUUGUAAAGCCCUUUUCUAUUCGAGGAAUAAGGUGUGGAGGCAAUGCCACACUGAUGACGGUAGGGUAGGAAUAAGCCCCGGCCAAUUACGUGCCAGCAGCCGCGGUAACACGUAUGGGGCGAGCGUUGUUCGGAAUCAUUGGGCGUAAAGGGCGCGUAGGCGGAUAUGCAAGCUUGGUGUGAAAGACCGCAGCUCAACUGCGGGAGCGCGCUGAGAACUGCAUAUCUUGAGUUCAAGAGGGGAAGCUGGAAUUCCAGGUGUAGGGGUGACAUCUGUAGAUAUCUGGAAGAACAUCAGUGGCGAAGGCGAGCUUCUGGCUUUGAACUGACGCUGAGGCGCGAAAGCGUGCGGAGCGAACAG
Molecule: ribosomal RNA, 768 nt
Filed under: uncultured organism
Description: bacterial SSU rRNA
Rfam family: Bacterial small subunit ribosomal RNA
Source: RNAcentral